RNAcentral lists this ribosomal RNA (472 nucleotides) under uncultured organism. RNAcentral's name for it is "partial 16S ribosomal RNA". It matches the Rfam family "Bacterial small subunit ribosomal RNA", at positions 335 to 798 of the family's 1533-position model. The record is from RNAcentral.
ACUCCUACGGGAGGCAGCAGUGGGGAAUAUUGCACAAUGGGCGCAAGCCUGAUGCAGCCAUGCCGCGUGUAUGAAGAAGGCCUUCGGGUUGUAAAGUACUUUCAGCGGGGAGGAAGGCGAUAAGGUUAAUAACCUUGUCGAUUGACGUUACCCGCAGAAGAAGCACCGGCUAACUCCGUGCCAGCAGCCGCGGUAAUACGGAGGGUGCAAGCGUUAAUCGGAAUUACUGGGCGUAAAGCGCACGCAGGCGGUCUGUCAAGUCGGAUGUGAAAUCCCCGGGCUCAACCUGGGAACUGCAUUCGAAACUGGCAGGCUAGAGUCUUGUAGAGGGGGGUAGAAUUCCAGGUGUAGCGGUGAAAUGCGUAGAGAUCUGGAGGAAUACCGGUGGCGAAGGCGGCCCCCUGGACAAAGACUGACGCUCAGGUGCGAAAGCGUGGGGAGCAAACAGGAUUAGAAACCCGAGUAGUCCCAU